Molecule: ribosomal RNA, 468 nt
Filed under: Triticum aestivum (bread wheat)
Lineage: Eukaryota; Viridiplantae; Streptophyta; Magnoliopsida; Poales; Poaceae
Description: partial small subunit ribosomal RNA
Source: RNAcentral
GGCGCCGACGUCUUCCACUACGUUGACGGUACGUCGACCGAGCCAGCCAAAACCCACGUCACCAAAGAUGCCGCUGGGAAGGAAACCAAGAGACCGAAUCCUCUCCAUCCACUCUGGGUGAAGGGGGGUCAGCAGGUCCUUGGAUAUCUACUCCAACACCUAUCCAAGGAGGUGCUCGUCAUGGUGACCGCGAUCACCAUGGCGCGGGAACUCUGGGUGGCGCUCGCGAGCAUGUUCUCGUCACAGUCACUCAGCCGCGUCAACAACAUCCGCAUGGCGCUGAUAAACGUGCAGAAGGGCAACCAGUCAGUGUCCUCCUUCUUCGCCGCCAUGCGGGGGCUAUCUGACGAGCUCAUCGCGGCGGGAAAGUCGAUCCAGGACGACAAGCUCAUAUCCUACAUCAUCCAUGGGUUGGACCAAGUUAUCUGCCUCUUGUCUCUGCCUUGGACGCUCGCGUCACUCCGGUAA